Molecule: ribosomal RNA, 253 nt
Filed under: uncultured bacterium
Lineage: Bacteria
Description: partial 16S ribosomal RNA
Rfam family: Bacterial small subunit ribosomal RNA
Source: RNAcentral
UACGUAGGGGGCAAGCGCUGUCCGGAAUCAUUGGGCGUAAAGAGCGCGUAGGCGGCCCGGUAAGUCCGCUCUGAAAGUCCGGGGCUCAACCCCGGGAGGCGGGCGGAUACUGUCGGGCUAGAGUCCGGAAGAGGCGAGUGGAAUUCCUGGUGUAGCGGUGAAAUGCGUAGAUAUCGGGAAGAACACCAAUGGCGAAGGCAGUCCGCUGGGCCGUUGCUGACGCUGAGGCGCGACAGCGUGGGGAGCAAACAGG